This 429-nucleotide ribosomal RNA is filed under the name Gemmatimonadota bacterium. Its description in RNAcentral is "Gemmatimonadetes bacterium partial 16S ribosomal RNA". It matches the Rfam family "Bacterial small subunit ribosomal RNA", at positions 355 to 776 of the family's 1533-position model. The record is from RNAcentral. Lineage: Bacteria; Pseudomonadati; Gemmatimonadota.
UAGGGAAUCUUCGGCAAUGGACGAAAGUCUGACCGAGCAACGCCGCGUGAGUGAAGAAGGUUUUCGGAUCGUAAAACUCUGUUGUUAGAGAAGAACAAGGACGUUAGUAACUGAACGUCCCCUGACGGUAUCUAACCAGAAAGCCACGGCUAACUACGUGCCAGCAGCCGCGGUAAUACGUAGGUGGCAAGCGUUGUCCGGAUUUAUUGGGCGUAAAGCGAGCGCAGGCGGUUUCUUAAGUCUGAUGUGAAAGCCCCCGGCUCAACCGGGGAGGGUCAUUGGAAACUGGGAGACUUGAGUGCAGAAGAGGAGAGUGGAAUUCCAUGUGUAGCGGUGAAAUGCGUAGACAUAUGGAGGAACACCAGUGGCGAAGGCGGCUCUCUGGUCUGUAACUGACGCUGAGGCUCGAAAGCGUGGGGAGCAAACAGG